GUGGGGAAUUUUGGACAAUGGGCGAAAGCCUGAUCCAGCAAUGCCGCGUGCAGGAUGAAGGCCCUCGGGUUGUAAACUGCUUUUGUACGGAACGAAAAGCCUGGGGCUAAUAUCCCCGGGUCAUGACGGUACCGUAAGAAUAAGCACCGGCUAACUACGUGCCAGCAGCCGCGGUAAUACGUAGGGUGCAAGCGUUAAUCGGAAUUACUGGGCGUAAAGCGUGCGCAGGCGGUUUUGUAAGACAGUGGUGAAAUCCCCGGGCUCAACCUGGGAACUGGCAGUGUGACUGCAAGGCUAGAGUGCGGCAGAGGGGGAUGGAAUUCCGCGUGUAGCAGUGAAAUGCGUAGAUAUGCGGAGGAACACCGAUGGCGAAGGCAAUCCCCUGGGCCUGCACUGAUGCUCAUGCACGAAAGCGUGGGGAGCAAACAGGAUUAGAAACCCGGGUAGUCC
This 450-nucleotide ribosomal RNA is filed under the name uncultured bacterium. RNAcentral's name for it is "partial 16S ribosomal RNA". It matches the Rfam family "Bacterial small subunit ribosomal RNA", at positions 354 to 796 of the family's 1533-position model. The record is from RNAcentral.